This 253-nucleotide ribosomal RNA is filed under the name uncultured bacterium. RNAcentral describes it as "partial 16S ribosomal RNA". It matches the Rfam family "Bacterial small subunit ribosomal RNA", at positions 524 to 776 of the family's 1533-position model. The record is from RNAcentral.
UACAUAGGUCUCAAGCGUUGUUCGGAUUCAUUGGGCGUAAAGGGUGCGUAGGCGGCGCGGUAAGUCGGGUGUGAAAUCUCGGGGCUUAACUCCGAAACUGCAUUCGAUACUGCCGUGCUUGAGGACUGGAGAGGAGACUGGAAUUUACGGUGUAGCGGUGAAAUGCGUAGAUAUCGUAAGGAAGACCAGUGGCGAAGGCGGGUCUCUGGACAGUUCCUGACGCUGAGGCACGAGGGUCAGGGGAGCAAACGGG